AUAUGGGGGUUGUAGGACCCGAUAUUGGUUGUUAAAUAGAACUGGAAGUAUUUGGAAAGGUACACCAUAGAGUGUGAUAGUCACGUAUAGGUAAUGUUUAAUAAAUCAUAGGGAUAUCCUGAGUAGGGCGGGGCACGUGGAACCCUGUCUGAAUUUGCCGGGACCAUCCGGUAAGGCUAAAUACUCCUGAGAGACCGAUAGUGAACCAGUACCGUGAGGGAAAGGUGAAAAGAACCGUGAAUAACGGAGUGAAAUAGACCCUGAAACCAUACGCUUACAAGCGGUCGGAGCCCUUUUGGGUGACGGCGUGCCUUUUGCAUAAUGAGCCUACGAGUUACUUUUACCAGCGAGGAUAAGCAUUUCAGAUGCGAAUUCGUAGCGAAAGCGAGUCUUAAUAGGGCGAUUGAGUUGGUAGUAGUAGACGCGAAACCUGGUGAUCUACCCAUGGGCAGGUUGAAGCGCUGGUAACACAGCGUGGAGGACCGAACCGGUUGUCGUUGAAAAGACUUCGGAUGACCUGUGGGUAGGGGUGAAAGGCCAAUCAAACUGGGAAAUAGCUCGUACUCCCCGAAAUGUAUUUAGGUACAGCGUCGUGUUAUAGUUUAUUAGAGGUAGAGCUACUGAUUGGAUGCGGGGGUUUCACCGCCUACCAAUUCC
Molecule: ribosomal RNA, 657 nt
Filed under: Prevotella sp. OH937_COT-195
Lineage: Bacteria; Pseudomonadati; Bacteroidota; Bacteroidia; Bacteroidales; Prevotellaceae
Description: partial 23S ribosomal RNA
Rfam family: Bacterial large subunit ribosomal RNA
Source: RNAcentral